UACGAAGGGGGCUAGCGUUGCUCGGAAUGACUGGGCGUAAAGGGCGCGUAGGCGGAAUGCUUUGUCGGGCGUGAAAUUCCAGGGCUCAACCUUGGGGCUGCGUUCGAGACGGGUAUUCUUGAGUUCGGAAGAGGGUCGUGGAAUUCCCAGUGUAGAGGUGAAAUUCGUAGAUAUUGGGAAGAACACCGGUGGCGAAGGCG
Molecule: ribosomal RNA, 200 nt
Filed under: uncultured bacterium
Lineage: Bacteria
Description: partial 16S ribosomal RNA
Rfam family: Bacterial small subunit ribosomal RNA
Source: RNAcentral